Molecule: ribosomal RNA, 253 nt
Filed under: uncultured bacterium
Lineage: Bacteria
Description: partial 16S ribosomal RNA
Rfam family: Bacterial small subunit ribosomal RNA
Source: RNAcentral
UACGAAGGGGGCGAGCGUUGUUCGGAUUUACUGGGCGUAAAGGGCGCGCAGGCGGCUAUCCAAGUCAGGCGUGAAAGCCCCGGGCUUAACCUGGGAGGUGCGUCUGGGACUGGGUGGCUAGAGUUCGGGAGAGGAGAGUGGAAUUCCCAGUGUAGAGGUGAAAUUCGUAGAUAUUCGCAAGAACACCAGUGGCGAAGGCGGCUCACUGGCCCGAUACUGACGCUGAGGCACGAAAGCGUGGGGAGCAAACAGG